AUGGUUUCCUGGAGUGAGGAUGAUGACAGCAGUGAAAGUGAGCACGGCAGGUAUUACCAGUACUCCACCUCAGGUUCAGACGACGGCAUCGUGAAGAUCCCUGCUACCACGGAUGACUCCGAAUUCGAGGGCAAUGAUUAUGUUUUGUGCCAUGAACACCGGAAGCGAGCAGAAAGACUUGUUGCUUUCGAGGGCAUCCAUACUGGCAGGAGGUUCCUUGCUUGUGCUGUGAAGGAUGGUAAAAAUUGUGGACUAGUUGAAUGGGUUGAUCCAUCUUGGCCAGCUACAAUGGAGAAUGCACUGUCCAAGUUGUGGGAUAUGUAUGAGCAGUCCAAGAGAAACAGGACUAAGGACAACCUGAUGAACUCAUUUGCUGUUCACCAACUGACACAAGAGAAGAUCAAGCUGCAGGCCAGUUAUGACAAGUUGGUUGGAGAUGUUCAAGCCCUUUUGGAUGAGAAUGAGAGGAGGGCCCAGAUGGAAAGGAAGCCUGAUGAGAGCAAGCUCCAGGAGAAGUAUGACAUGGUUAAGAACCUGACAGUAUCUCAAGCCAGUGUCAUUAGGAACAUGAAGUUGAAGCUUGCUGAAGAGAAGACUAAGUUGCAGGCCCAUAUUGAUGAGCUUGAGAAGGUUGUGGAGCAGACCAAGGCCAAGCUGAAUGGGAUCAAGGCAAUCUUAGAUGAAUGA
RNAcentral lists this ribosomal RNA (687 nucleotides) under Triticum aestivum (bread wheat). RNAcentral describes it as "partial small subunit ribosomal RNA". Lineage: Eukaryota; Viridiplantae; Streptophyta; Magnoliopsida; Poales; Poaceae. The record is from RNAcentral.